This 350-nucleotide ribosomal RNA is filed under the name Candidatus Magasanikbacteria bacterium CG10_big_fil_rev_8_21_14_0_10_38_6. Its description in RNAcentral is "bacterial SSU rRNA". It matches the Rfam family "Bacterial small subunit ribosomal RNA", at positions 1 to 341 of the family's 1533-position model. Lineage: Bacteria; Candidatus Magasanikiibacteriota. The record is from RNAcentral.
UAUUGAGAGUUUGAUCCUGGCUCAGGAUGAACGCUGGCGGCGUGACUAAGGCAUGCAAGUCGAGGGAUCGGCCCUUUUUUACUUCGGUAAUAUUGGGUACGGACCGGCAAACGGGUGAGUAACACAUUAGUAAUCUACCUUCAAGUUGAGAAUAGCCCAGGGAAACCUGGAUUAAUGCUCGAUAGUCAUGGGGGGUCAUAUGACAUUCCCAUGUAAAGAUUUAUCGCUUGAAGAGGAGCUUAUGGCAGAUUAGCUAGUUGGUAGGGUAAUGGCCUACCAAGGCUUUGAUCUGUAGCAGGCGUGAGAGCGUGACCUGCCUCACUGGGACUGAGACACUGCCCAGACUCCUA